Molecule: long non-coding RNA, 1077 nt
Filed under: Felis catus (domestic cat)
Lineage: Eukaryota; Metazoa; Chordata; Mammalia; Carnivora; Felidae
Description: lncRNA (ENSFCAG00000053854.1)
Source: RNAcentral
UCUGCCCUUGUAACCUGACCGCCCGUCGCCUCUCACCUGACCACUGGCGUUGCCCUCCUCUUGGCCUCCCGCCUCCCCCUUUGCCCCUGCCGAUCCAUUUUCUACACGACAGCCAGAGGAUCUUUUAAAGAAGAUGCAGUACUUUGGCGUAUUUGACACGUGUCCCACCCUCCUCCCACCGUACGUUCCUCUCCUGCAGAGGCUGGACAGUUGAACACCCGAUUUCCCAGACCCCAUGCAUCUUGGCUUCCAGAGGAAGUCGAGGCUCAGCUUAAGUCAAAUUUGCAGGUGGACCAUGUGGGUCAGCGUGGAGCGAGCCAGGGAGAGACAGGCGUGGGUCUAGGAGGUGCAGUGUCGACCCUGCAGCUACGGUCGAAGCCGUGAACAUGGGAUUGCUGCCCCCCUGGAGUGUUUGAAGGCAGCAGCCGCAGCCCCACCUUCCUGGCCCCUCAGAUCCCUGACUGCAAUACAGGCAGGGGCUCCCCUGGCAGGUAAGCUCUGUGGUGAUGGUCUAGGAAUCCCUCCUCUGGGCCCAGUCUCCAGGCUGUUCCUCCAGCCCUUCCAAUAAUCUGUGAGCAACUAGUUCCCUGGGUUAGAUUCCUUUCUGCUUAAAACAGGGUGCUGGGGCACCUGGGUGGCUCAGUCGGUUGGGCGUCCAACUUCAGCUCAGGUCGUGAUCUCGCGGUCUGUGAGUUCGAGCGCCGCAUCAGGCUCUGUGCUGACAGCUUGGAGCCUGGAGCCUACUUCAGAUUCUGUGUCUCCCUCUCUCUCUGUCCCUCCCCUGCUUCUAUUCUGUCUCUCUCUCAGAAAUAAAUGAACCUUAAAAAAAAAAAAUUAAAACAAAACAAAAAAACAGCCAGAGUGCUUUCCCUUAUCUUCCAUGGACCUUGGACUACAAAAGGACCACUCUGAUCACAUCACUUCCCUGCUCGUUGACCAAAUAAUACACCCCAACAUCCAAUGCCGUUGAGGCGGCUGGCUUUGUGGCACGCUAGCCUGAGAACCCUGGAGAACAACCACCCGCAGAGCAGAGAGAGCGGGGGACAUCUGGGAAGUCUGUCGAGCCCUUACGGGAAC